Molecule: non-coding RNA, 91 nt
Organism: Epicoccum nigrum
Lineage: Eukaryota; Fungi; Ascomycota; Dothideomycetes; Pleosporales; Didymellaceae
Source: the annotation of a GenBank genome assembly
GUCGCUUUAGCUCACUUGGGAGAGCGCCAGACUGAAGUUUGCUCAGUCAUUGAAAAUCUGGAGGUACUGUGUUCGAUCCACAGAAGCGACA